RNAcentral lists this ribosomal RNA (429 nucleotides) under Chloroflexota bacterium. RNAcentral's name for it is "Chloroflexi bacterium partial 16S ribosomal RNA". It matches the Rfam family "Bacterial small subunit ribosomal RNA", at positions 355 to 776 of the family's 1533-position model. The record is from RNAcentral. Lineage: Bacteria; Bacillati; Chloroflexota.
UGGGGAAUAUUGCACAAUGGGCGCAAGCCUGAUGCAGCCAUGCCGCGCGUGUGAAGAAGGCCUUCGGGUUGUAAAGCACUUUCAGCGGGGAGGAAGGCGGUGAGGUUAAUAACCUCAUCGAUUGACGUUACCCGCAGAAGAAGCACCGGCUAACUCCGUGCCAGCAGCCGCGGUAAUACGGAGGGUGCAAGCGUUAAUCGGAAUUACUGGGCGUAAAGCGCACGCAGGCGGUCUGUCAAGUCGGAUGUGAACUCCCCGGGCUCAACCUCGGAACUGCAUUCGAAACUGGGAGGCUGGAGUCUUGUAGAGGGGGGUAGAAUUCCAGGUGUAGCGGUGAAAUGCGUAGAGAUCUGGAGGAAUACCGGUGGCGAAGGCGGCCCACUGGACAAAGACUGACGCUCAGGUGCGAAAGCGUGGGGAGCAAACAGG